AUUCAAAUAGCUUAUAUUUAGAGCAUGACACUGAAGAUGUUAGGGAGAUUGUCUUAAUCUUUGGAUA
Molecule: transfer RNA, 67 nt
Filed under: Tanypus punctipennis
Lineage: Eukaryota; Metazoa; Arthropoda; Insecta; Diptera; Chironomidae
Description: tRNA-Phe
Source: RNAcentral